This 450-nucleotide ribosomal RNA is filed under the name uncultured bacterium. RNAcentral describes it as "partial 16S ribosomal RNA". It matches the Rfam family "Bacterial small subunit ribosomal RNA", at positions 354 to 796 of the family's 1533-position model. The record is from RNAcentral.
GUGGGGAAUUGUGGACAAUGGGCGCAAGCCUGAUCCAGCCAUUCCGCGUGCAGGAUGAAGGCCUUCGGGUUGUAAACUGCUUUUGUACGGAACGAAAAGCCUCUGGUUAAUACCCGGGGGUCAUGACGGUACCGUAAGAAUAAGCACCGGCUAACUACGUGCCAGCAGCCGCGGUAAUACGUAGGGUGCGAGCGUUAAUCGGAAUUACUGGGCGUAAAGCGUGCGCAGGCGGUGAUGUAAGACAGUUGUGAAAUCCCCGGGCUCAACCUGGGAACUGCAUCUGUGACUGCAUUGCUGGAGUGCGGCAGAGGGGGAUGGAAUUCCGCGUGUAGCAGUGAAAUGCGUAGAUAUGCGGAGGAACACCGAUGGCGAAGGCAAUCCCCUGGGCCUGCACUGACGCUCAUGCACGAAAGCGUGGGGAGCAAACAGGAUUAGAUACCCUGGUAGUCC